Molecule: long non-coding RNA, 4479 nt
Filed under: Homo sapiens (human)
Lineage: Eukaryota; Metazoa; Chordata; Mammalia; Primates; Hominidae
Description: long non-coding RNA NONHSAT171998.1
Source: RNAcentral
UAUUGAAAAUAAGACCCUAAAUUCCUUUUGACUGAAAGGAAGUUAUCAGACAAGAUGCAAUUUUCUCUUUCUUUACUGACAACUCUGUCAUCCAAAGGAUCACAGCCAUGUCAGGGUGUCUGUCUUAGAAAGAAAAAAAAGAGAGAGAGAGAGAGAGAGAGCUAGUGAGAGAAGCCCUGAUGCGCGUGGCCAUCUUUGCAUCAAAAUUUUCCAGACCUCUAUUUUUGAUUGUGAUCCCACUGAUCUGAGUUUGAAAUGCGAACGCAGUGAAGCCCCUAAGCCUUCAAUCGUGUGAAAUUUUCAAAAGAUCUCUAGAAGCAAUCUCAGGCUGCCUGACCCCUGACAGGCACCGAUCUCUUUAUUCCUCUCUCUGCCAGCACUUCAUUUGUCGGAAUAUCUUUCAGAUUUGCACCUCCAGAUGACAAACCUGAGUGUUUAUUAUGUGUACAUGAAUCGGAAAUCUUCAAGCCCGGACAAAAGCACCAUUUUAAACAUAAUAUUUAAUUUCCCAGCCUAAGUGUCUGCUUCUUUAUUUGCUUUUCAUUAGCUUAAAUAUUUUUUCCAAGUCUCCCCAUGUGUCACUUUGAUAUUUAGAUGAUUCUCUCUUCUAAUCGUCAUUUCCCCCUUGAAAAAUCCCCUGUUGCCCGCGACUGCUGGGCUCACACGGCAACGUCACCGUGCGGCCGUUGGCGAGGACUCAGCUCGACGCACAGCAGUUCAGGGAGCGCGGGGUGGGGGGCGCGUCUCCAGACAAGGUAAGGGCCGGAGGGCUGCCAAAGAAAGACUUGCUUUUUAAGCCAGAGGCCAGGGCUGGGCCCAAGGCAGUGAAGACUUUCCCAUCUCACUCCACCCUUCUCCUUCAGGCCUUUUUAAUUCCCCGUAUUACUUUUGAAAAAAAAAACAAAACCCUCAGGCGUCUUGAGGACGUGCUGGGGGCAGUUUUAGCUGACUCGAGUGUGCUCAGCUGCUGGCCCUCUGAGCGUGGGCGCCAGGUUUAGCCAUUCCACCCGAAACAGUCAGACUCAUUCCUGUCUCGGGACUUGUUUUUCCGCCUGCCUUUCUGUGGGUACCUAAAUCCUGGGAGCUUGAGGGCACUAGAGGGAAAGGGGAUGGGGGACGCUUCUUGAAAGAGGGCUGCUUUGUGAAAAUGCCCCAUGCCAAAUAAUUCCAGGGACAAGCCUUUGGGGUCGAGAUGCCGCCCACCCCUCCCCCAACCUCAGCCCCAGAUCGGGGCUUUAGAGCCCAGCCCAGCACCCAGGUGGACUGGGUUGAGACAGGGACGAGCUCCAGCUCUGCAGAACCCAGGGGUGACUCGCCACUCUCAAGCACAGUCCCAGGUCGAGAGGUGGUCGGCUGAAGCCUGAACCCCCCUCCCUGUGUGUUUGGAUGGGCCGUGUUGCUAUGAUUAACUUAUUAAACCCCCUGAUAAUUAUUUUAAUUUGACUCGAAAAAAUACUUUGGGCGGCGUUGUGAUGUGUUUGUAUUUAUCCAUCCCCCCUAUAAAACCUGUGUUAAAACAAAUGUUACUUUUCUCUCUCUGUACAUAGACCCUCCCUUUUUGAAAUAGACCGCAGGGACUGCCAUUAGAUCGAAUGGCAAGUCUUUAUGGAAAGUGUUUUGCAUAAUUACAUACCAAAGCCAGAACAGUCACCUCCACAUUUUAUGGGUCACAAACCAUCAACAAUUGCCACAUUAUUGUCCACGAAACCUUAGUCCCUUCAUUGAUGGAGCGGACUCCACUGCGCCUAAUCUAGAACGGGAGAGGAUGGAAAUUUCUUCUAAUAAGAACCUGAGAAGAUUAUGUCCCCACUGACAACGUGUUUACAUAUAGUUAUAAAGUUCAGAGGACCGACCGAGAGAGGAAAGGAAAUCGGACUAGGCCUGAUUAAGAACGGCGCAUCGGUCUAAUAUAGAUAGCGCAUCAAAAGCAGCGGCUGAAUGCCUCUCCCCUUUUCAGAUCCGACCCCUUUUCUACCUUUGUGAUGCAGUAAUUAAGAUAUUCUUAUUUAGACAGACAGCUUCUCUGGUAACUGAAUAAUAUUAGCUCCUUUGAUGUCAAACUUUUGACAGUUAUCACACCAGCACUGGGCAAUUUAGCACAAAUGCCCUCCAAAAAAAAAAAAAAAAAAAAAGAUAGAAAACCCCCAUCGGCUUUGAAGAAAUCUAAUAAGUGUGAUCCUUAUCACCAAAUGAUUUAAAUCGCCGCCGACAGACCGCCUAGCUAUAAAUUACAUUCGGUGGUACAUAAUGAAGCCGAAUUUGGGUUUUAGCUCAUUGAGGAAGCAUUGGUGGAAAGUGGGGCCGGAGCCCCACACUUAACAGCUCCCCCAUUCCAGACACCCAGAACUGCUGCCCAGUGCGACAGAAAAACCCCACAGUCUACCGGGUCAGGGCAGGGAUGGAGCAGAGGUGGGGGCAGGUGCGGGCAGAGCCCACGGCCCUUGCCCCAGCUCCGGAGAGUCCGGCAGGACCAGCCACCUACUCCCGGGAUGAGCCGUCGCUGUUGCUUUCCGAGCUUGGUCACCAAAUUUGGGAUUUGCCAGAUGGCAGGAUUAUCUUCGCGUCUGUUAUAUUAUGUGUGUGUUGAGGGGGAGCGGGGGUGGAGAGCGAAGACAGGGAAGUCCAGAGACCGCGCUGGUUUCUUUGAAAUACACGCAUGUUCCCUCUUUGCCCACUCCCGGGCUGCCGCCGCCGGGACCCUUACCGGAGUUCCUGGCACCUCGGAGCGGCCCCACGGCAGGCAGCAGGCGGAGCCUCUGCCACCCCUGCCCUUGGGUGCCGGCCCCCUGCCCGCAUCUCUAGACCUGGGGCCCUGUGCCCAGAUGCGAGGAGCUGGGGUUUGGGAGUGCGAAUGUGAGAACCUCCCCCAGAGGAGAAAGGGGGGAGGUAUGAGAGUUGGAAGGGAAGGGGGCAAAGAGGGCGGGUUAGGAAGGAUGGGGCUGUGACAGUGGCACCUGGAAGGCAUUGUCCUAACGAGCGACACCUGUCAAUCUCCGCUCCGGGGUCCCGGGGCCGGGGGCGGGGAGGCCGCGGGUCUCUGUGGUGAUGUCAUCUCAGCGUCCUUUCCCGGCUAAGGGCGGGAAGGCUGGGAGGGGCGCGGAGCUAGGAGAAGGAUGGGGGAGGAAAAGAGAAAAUAAACAGAAGUCGCUCUCACUCGCCACAUCCUCGGUUCGCAAUUUACAGGGAAAUCAAUAAUCCAACUUUAAUGUUAUUUCUAAUCUUGAUUGAUCGUCUUGCCUUUUCACUGGGGAUGGAGAAAUAGGGUUGCUGCAUCUCAUCCCACAACCCACACAAUCGUUGGGGAAGUCUUGUGGCCCCAAAGCUCUAAGUGACCGACUCUUCUAGACCCCGCUCCCCUCUUUCCCUGGCGGUUGUUCCAAGCUUUAGGCUUAAAGAGGAAACACUUGGAGAUGAGUUUUGAAAGUCUUCCGAUAUUGCAGGGGGCAGGGAGGGGAGUUAAUUAACGCUGGGCUUGCUCAGCGAGUGGCAGAGGGGACUCGGCGUGGGUGGGCGGGCCAGGUGGAACGCUGGGGAGCGCAGUGCGGGAGGCUUGUGAGCCCGAAGCCCCUGCUUGGAGGCCCAGGCUGGGGGGAGGUGGUCUGCGGUGGCCUGGGCCGGGGGUGCGGGGCGCCACCAACCUCUCCCUCUUUCUAUUCUUUUCGGUCGAGCUAAUUAGCAGCCUGCCAGCGGCCUGAUUUAUGGAAACGUUCGGGCGGGCGGAGACCCGCCGCUAGCCUAGCCAGGCUGCCUCGGGGCGGAGUGGAGGAGGAGUCUCGACCGGCCCCCUCCGUUGAGUUUCCCUUCUCGGGGUCGGAAAAUGGAAGUUGCUGGUCCCCUACCGCCGUCACCCGGGCCGGUCUAGGAGACCCCCACGCCCUCGCUGCCCCAGCCUGGGGUGCGGGAAGCCCUGGCGCUAGUGGAGAGGACAGAGGCCGGUGGCCACACAGCCUGCUGCGGACACCCGAGGCCGCCAGGUUCCAGCUCCAGCUAACUCUGAGGGCGGGCUGGACGCCGAUAGAGCUCGAGCCUCCUAUGCCCGAGCUGGGCGCCUAGCUUCCCGCAUCCAGGUCCCCAGAGAGGGGAAAUUAGACCUGCAAGGGGAGGGGUGCUGCCUGAGAUCGGCUUCACCUCUCCGCACCCCUCCAAGGCCGCAGAGAGUCACUAGGCCAGGGUGGGGCCCAAUGAAGCCACCGGCCCUGCUGGCCCGGGAGUAGCUGGCUAGCGCCUGGGGAGGGCGAGGUUCUCUCCACUUUCCCUCCCGUGCACUUUCUCCAGGGGCGCAUCCUCAGAGGGCUCCUCUGAGUCAGAGUCCUCAACCAAGAGUUGGAAUUUCUCCGAGGCGAGUGCAGGUCACAGGCCAUUUCUGGAGCCACCCGGCGGGGCAUUUGCCCGAACACCCGGCACAGUCUCCUCGCCAACUUCGGGCUGCUUUGGAUAGUCAAGGGGGAGAGGGGUCGAGGAGUAUUCCCUCUUUGCCAU